UGUUUUCAACCAUUUAACAAGGACAAUGAUUGUAUAAACGUGGAUGAAAAUUUAGUAGUCACUGUCAUAUCUCGCAUAGAAGAGUUCAAUGAAUUUACUUUACCAAA
This is a long non-coding RNA of Camponotus floridanus (Florida carpenter ant), 107 nucleotides long. RefSeq lists it as uncharacterized. The transcript has 2 exons. The record is from RefSeq and is a predicted model, not a curated record. Lineage: Eukaryota; Metazoa; Arthropoda; Insecta; Hymenoptera; Formicidae.